UGGACAUUGAGGUUUCCCGCUAGGAUCGG
RNAcentral lists this non-coding RNA (29 nucleotides) under Homo sapiens (human). The record is from RNAcentral. Lineage: Eukaryota; Metazoa; Chordata; Mammalia; Primates; Hominidae.